GUUCGGCUGACUGCUAGCCUACCGCUCUUACCAUUUUUUCCCAAGACAGAGGCAUGGUAUAACCUGAUCUGUAAUGAGGUGGCCCAGGAGGGAUGGGCCCAGUCGGCCUUGACAGCUUUCAAAGCUUUCCCUUCAAGGCUAUGGCUCAAGUGUGCCAGGGGAAGAUUGUCGACACCUCCGUUUUCCCACAGAGGCUAGCGGAAGCCAUGCAGGGCUGCCAUUAGACUCCCUGAGCUGCGGUUAAAUUACUUGAGGAGCGGUGCCCACUCCAGAAGCGGAUGCACUUAGACUUCCGUUUGUUUCCUCAAAUCCGGUCACGGGAUUUGUGUCUUCCUCGGAGAGGCAUCCAGAUCUGUUACUUCCAGUUCACCGCUCUCGCAGCACCGUUUCAAAUGCGCUUUGUAAUUUACUCCUCAGACCCUGGGGAAAGGAUCGGCUCCAGGCAGCCAUUUUCAUCACAGCAUCAUUCACAAGAGAAAUAACAUCAUCAUGUGCCUGAUAAAGUACAAU
RNAcentral lists this long non-coding RNA (510 nucleotides) under Rhinopithecus bieti (black snub-nosed monkey). RNAcentral's name for it is "lncRNA (ENSRBIG00000045226.1)". The record is from RNAcentral. Lineage: Eukaryota; Metazoa; Chordata; Mammalia; Primates; Cercopithecidae.